AUGUCCCUUCAACGGGGAGCUGGGAUUCACCCGGCUGAGAGGAUGGCUCCGCUGCCAUCGACCCUUAGAACCUGAUCCGGAUAAUGCCGGCGAAGGGAGGAGUCGAAGCCGUUCU
Molecule: non-coding RNA, 115 nt
Filed under: archaeon 13_1_20CM_2_51_12
Lineage: Archaea
Description: Archaeon 13 TPP sequence
Rfam family: TPP riboswitch aptamer (THI element)
About the family: Vitamin B(1) in its active form thiamin pyrophosphate (TPP) is an essential coenzyme that is synthesised by coupling of pyrimidine and thiazole moieties in bacteria. The previously detected thiamin-regulatory element, thi box was extended, resulting in a new, highly conserved RNA secondary structure, the THI element, which is widely distributed in eubacteria and also occurs in some archaea.
Source: RNAcentral